UGUGACCUCAAAUCAGGUAGGACUACCCGCUGAAC
Molecule: ribosomal RNA, 35 nt
Filed under: Cortinarius privignipallens
Lineage: Eukaryota; Fungi; Basidiomycota; Agaricomycetes; Agaricales; Cortinariaceae
Also listed under: 1 other name
Description: partial 28S ribosomal RNA
Source: RNAcentral